UUUUCCUCUUUCUCCUCUUCAUGGCCUUUUUCCUGUGCCUUGGAUAAACAAAUGGCAAUGAUUUCGAGCCUGACUCUUCCAAAGUAGCUUGAUCUAAUGCCCUAUGUUUUUUCCCAUCAAGCGCUGAUAUCUCUCUGUUGUACCUUGCUGCCUGCAACUGAAGGUCUUUCAUCUUGAGUUCUGCCCAUUUACACCGCCACAUUAUGGGAUGUAUAAAGUCUCUCCAGUGAGCAGUUAACUUUUUCUUCCU
Molecule: long non-coding RNA, 250 nt
Filed under: Nicotiana benthamiana
Lineage: Eukaryota; Viridiplantae; Streptophyta; Magnoliopsida; Solanales; Solanaceae
Description: long non-coding RNA (NBEN_LNC001359)
Source: RNAcentral